GCCCCACAUCAAGGGUUGAAGAAUCAUUACUACUUCAACAAGCUAGAAUCUGUAUAGCUAGUUACGUAACAGCGCCAUCUAGCGGCAGUAGAAAUCCACUGCAACCUAUGUUUCUUACAUUUGUAUAAAUAAAGUUCUUAAUUAUGCAACUACAGUGCAUUGUGGGUGGCUAGUGCAUUCUGGGAAGGAGAAGGGAGCCACCAUACUGUUUACAGCACAUUUGCAUAGCUCUCCUAGCAUUCCUGCUUCUUAAAUCUCCACUACCCCACAGCCAGCAUAUCUGGUAAGAAUUAUACAAGUCUCAGGAUAGUCUGUUCUUUAGUGAUGUUUUUAUAGUUCUAAUCUGCACUUAGUAGUUGUUACUCUAGUAGAUAGCCAGUCAUGCGGCCUUAUAGGUUGUCAGCCAUCUUCAACAUGUGCUUGUGCUAUGUAAUAUGUUCAGACAUGCUGAUUUAGAAUGAAUGCUGCUGUAUAUGUUAUUCAUAUGUUUUUGCUAUAUACUUAUACAAACCAUUUGUAUCUUUAUAGUUUUACCACAUGAACAUACAUCGGCACACCUACGUCGAUGCUCCUGUUUACUAAUUGCAACUGACCACUUACAGUCAAACAACCUGUUAUCAAUAAACAAGUUAGAUUACAAGACAGUCUGCUUAUUUGGAAGACAGGGAUGGUUAAGCUGAAUGUUGGAUUGCACACUGUGAGAACGUGUAUGAAGGCAGAACAGUAAAACAGAUGCUGGUCAGCAACGAUAGUGGAUGUGACCAAACGGAGCUGCCAUCACACACGCGGUUCUGCGUAUACGAUUGCAGCAUCUACCACACGGUCAGUGAUAAGAAGUGAGAGUGCAGCUCCACACGAUCCAGACCACGCCGAAGCCCGGUCCUAUAUAGAUCGAGUCCACAAAGAGACAUUAAGCGGCCGGCAGAACAGGCACAAUGUCUGUUAGCCGAGCAUCAUCAUACAAAACCAGAUCACGAGCAAGCUGCUCUAGCAAAUCCUCCAUAAAAGAAAUGGCUGCUCUCGCACGUGCAGAAGCUGAAGCUGCAAAAGUAAAGUCUUCCUUCGCUGCACAAGAGAUGCAACUAAAGAAAGAGAGGGCAUCAUUAGAAAAGGAACAAGUAGAUCUGCAAGCGUCGCUAGAAAGACUAGCCGCAGAGAAGGAAGCGGCAGCCGCAAUAGCCAAAGCAGAAUACCUGGAAGCCCUGGAGUUUUCCGGAUCUGAGAAACACAGCCGAGUACUUGGGCCAGACCUAGACGAACAAGAACCAGCCCAGCGUGUCUCAGAAUACGUCCACCAACACCCCAAGACAGAGGGCAACUAUGAGCCAGGACAUCAGCCAGCUUAUAAAGAGUGCCAAAGAUCUUACCUUGAACCACAGUACCUUAGGCAGGACGAUAUGCGACCAAACGAUGCUGACAACUACCGCCCUAUGGAGCAGAGACUACAACCUUUGCCCAAAAUUAAAGGGACACCUUUUGCAUCAGAACGGCAUUAUACUGACUGCUCUAAGCCAGAAGCUCUUAAAAGGCAUGGUAAUACACCACACGUGCAGCAUAACAGCACACCGGAUUGUACUAAUGCUAACUGGGCCAUCAUGGACUUUGCUAAGUUCUUUGCUAAACGGGAGCUGGUUACCAAGGGACUUGCAAAGUUCACCGAUCAGGCCGAGAACUACAGGUCAUGGCGAGCCUCCUUCCAAAACGCCAUAAGAGACUUAGACCUUUCCCAUCAGGAAGAGUUAGACCUCCUGGUAAAGUGGCUUGGAAGCGAGUCCGUUGAACACGCCAAAAGAAUCAGAGACAUUAACAUAAACUAUCCUGACAGAGGCCUAAAGAUGGUGUGGGAAAGACUUGAUGAGUGUUACGGGUCCAUAGAAGCCAUUGAAAAUGCUUUGUUCAAAAGGAUUGAUAACUUUCCCAGAAUAGUGGGUAGGGGUUACCAGAAGCUCAGAGAGCUCAGUGACUUGUUAAGAGAGGUACAGGUUGCUCAAGAAGAAGGAGAUCUACCAGGGCUAGCUUUCCUAGACACUGCCAGAGGGGUCAAUCCUAUUGUUCAAAAACUCCCUUAUAACCUACAAGAGAAGUGGGUCACACAUGGUUCUACUUAUAAACGGGUUCAUAAUGUACCAUUUCCCCCCUUCAAGGUGUUUGUAAACUUUGUCAGUGAACAGGCAAGAAUCAGAAAUGAUCCCAGUUUUGAUCUCACAAUGUCAUGCCCCACUACCCCUGAUGUCAGACCUCAUAAAACACCAGUGGCAGUCCAUAAAACUAACAUUGCCUCCACAGGUUCUCCAUACAAGCCGUCUAAGUCUUCUCAAGAAGGGAACGGACACAGAGAUCUUAACAAAGAAUGCCCCCUGCACAAGAAACCACAUUCUUUACUAAAAUGCAGAGCCUUCAGAGAAAAGACUUUAGAAGACCGCAAACAGUUCCUCAAAGACAACAACAUCUGCUUCAGGUGCUGCACUACAACAUCGCACUUUGCCAGGAACUGUGAGGUCAGUGUGUCAUGCUCAGAAUGUGGUAGUACAGAACACAAUAUGGCUUUACACCCUGGGCCACCCUCUCAGGCAGUACACCAAACAGAGGAUCAUGAAAAGAAGCAGAUAGACACUGACAAAACCAACACAGUAGUCACUUCUCAGUGUACCGAGAUCUGUAAAGGAGUGGUAGGAGGAAAGUCCUGCUCGAAAAUCUGCCUUGUCAGAGUUUACCCGGCCAGUCACAGAGAUAAGGCGAUCAAGGCAUACGCAAUCUUAGACGAUCAAAGCAACCGGUCUUUAGCAAAAUCCACCUUUUUUGACACCUUCAACAUCACAGGACCCGGUUCUCCCUACUCCUUAAGGACAUGUGCAGGUACAGUGGAGACGGCGGGGAGGAAGGCAACGGGAUACAAGGUAGAGUCCAUAGAUGGGCAGACCUGCUUGUCACUGCCAACCAUACUGGAGUGCAACCAAAUUCCUGACAACCGUUCUGAGAUACCUACACCAGAAGUAGCAGCAUACCACCCCCACCUGAAGCGUAUAGCUCACCAGAUACCAGAACUGGAUCCAGAAGCACCAAUAGCCUUACUCCUAGGAAGAGACAUACUACGUGUUCACAAGGCUAGAGGACAGAUUAACGGUUCCCAAAACGCUCCAUACGCCCAGAGACUUGACCUAGGGUGGGUCAUCGUAGGAGACGUCUGUCUAGGAGGAGCACACAAGCCGAUCUCUGUCAACAGCAUGCUCACCAACACACUUGAAACUAGACGUCCUUCCUUAUUCCAACCAUGUCAGAACAGUUUCCUGAUAAAAGAAAUGCCACAUAGAGAUCCUGUCCCUUGUCCCUUCAUGGAUCCGUCCAGCGAAGACCACGCCUGCGAUGGUGAACGAGAUCACUUAGGGUGUACAGUUUUCCAUAGGUCAAGAGAAGACAACAAGGUCGCAAUGUCCAUAGAAGACAGACUGUUCUUGGAGAUCAUGGAUCAAGGAAUGACAAAGGACAAUUCAAAAAGCUGGGUCGCGCCUUUACCAUUUAGACCCCAGAGACAACGCUUACCUGACAACAAAGAACUUGUCUAUAACAGAUUUAUCUCCCUCAAGCACAAACUUCAGAAGACACCAGAGAUGAAAGAACAUUUCUUUACCUUCAUGGAAAGAAUAUUCCAGAACAACCACGCAGAAAUGGCACCCGCGCUCCGAGACUCAGAGGAGCGUUGGUACUUACCCACAUUCGGCGUAUAUCAUCCUAAAAAGCCAGGCCAGAUACGAGUAGUGUUCGACUCAAGUGCCAGGUGCAAAGGCUUAUCACUAAACGAUGUCUUACUGUCUGGUCCAGACCUCAACAACCGACUUCUAGAGGUACUUCUGCGUUUCCGUAAAGAUUCCAUAGCAUUCAUGGCCGACAUACAACAGAUGUUCCACUGCUUCCUUGUCAAGGAGGAACACAGAAAUUACUUGAGGUUCUUCUGGUACCGCAACAAUGACCCUAACGAAGACAUCGUAGAGUACCGAAUGAGGGUGCACAUCUUCGGAAACAGCCCUUCACCUGCAGUCGCUAUCUAUGGUCUCAGACUUUCAGCUCAAGAGGGUGAAGCGAAGUAUGGGUCAGAUGCCAGAUCCUUUGUAGAGAAAGAUUUCUAUGUGGACGACUGCUUGAAAUCCACACCCACGAAUGAGUCGGCAAUCAGUCUCUUAAAAAGGACUCAAGAGAUGCUAGCUUUGUCUAAUCUGAGGUUACACAAAAUUGCCUCCAACAGCCGUGAGUUAAUGGAAGCCUUCUCAAACCAAGACCAUGCAAGCGACCUUAAGGACUUGGAUCUUGACACCGAUUCCCUUCCCAUGCAACGGAGUCUCGGUUUGCUCUGGGAUUUGAAGGCAGACACCUUUACCUUCCAGAUCAACAAAGAAGAAAAGCCCUUCACACGCAGAGGAGUUCUAUCUACAAUAAACAGCUUGUACGAUCCUCUGGGAUUUGUAACACCUGUCACCAUCCAAGGCAAAAUUAUGUUAAGAGACCUCACCACAGAGAUGUCCGAUUGGGAUGAUCCGCUUCCCACAGAGAAAAAGGACCUGUGGACAAGUUGGAAAAAGUCUCUUGAAGCUUUGACCAGCCUUCAUGUGACACGACCCUAUGCUUCCAUACCAUCUACAGAAGUCAAGAUGCAAAAGCUACAUAUCUUCUGCGAUGCUUCAAUCAAGGCAAUUGCUGCUGUAGCAUACCUGAAGACCAUUGAUGCCAAAGAACAAUGCCAUGUAGGGUUCGUCAUGAGUCGGGCCAAACUGACACCUCUCCGUGAACACACGAUACCCAGACUGGAGCUCUGCGCUGCUGUGCUUGCGGUAGAGUUGGCUGAACUUAUAACUUCAGGAAUGGGCCUAGAAAUCGAAGAAGUCGAAUUCCACACGGACAGCAAGGUAGUCCUAGGAUAUAUCUGCAACGAAAUUAGACGCUUUUAUGUCUAUGUCUCCAAUCGAGUGCUGAGGAUCAGGAGAUCCACUAGUCCUCAACAGUGGCACUAUGUGCCUACACAACAUAAUCCCGCAGACUACGCAACCAGAUCCGUCGCAGCCUGCCACCUGAAAGCCACAACAUGGUUCACAGGUCCUGCGUUCCUGUACCGUUCAACGGCUUGCAACAUCGGAUGUGACACAUUUGAAUUGAUAGACCCAGACGCAGAUGAGGAGAUCCGACCCGAAGUGUCUGUUCUUAACACAGUGACUUCUGAUCGUCAACUCGAAUCCCAUCGUUUCAGCAGGUUCUCCACCUGGAUGUCUCUGGUCCGUGCGAUAGCCAUCUUGAUUCAUAUAGCUAAGUCCUACACAUCUACAUUACCUGUGAGUCAGAAACCUUGUAAAGGUUGGCAUCACUGCAAGAACGCCAUGUUACUCACACAGAGGACCAGCACCCUGAGUGCUCCAUCUGGAGAAUUUACUGAAAAAGACCUGUAUAGACGUCAAUGGAGGCAGGUACAAAGUCUUUCUAAUGUCUUCUGGGACAAAUGGAGAAAAGAGUAUGUCUCUACCUUGCAGUCAAGAAUUAAGUGGCAAACUAACAAGCCGAACAUCAGACCUGGGGAUGUCGUGCUCAUGAAAAACCACCAAUCACAUCGGAACGAGUGGCCACUGGGCCUCAUCACCAACACGUUUCCAAGCAAGGAUGGGAAUGUACGUAAGGCCGAGGUCAAAAUCUGGAAGCUUGGCGAGUGCAAACUAUUCCUCAGACCAACAGCCACUCGUGUUGUUGUUUUCACCUGAGAAGACAAGUAGUGACGUCCGUUGACGCCAGACGGGGAGUGUUCUGCCCCACAUCAAGGGUUGAAGAAUCAUUACUACUUCAACAAGCUAGAAUCUGUAUAGCUAGUUACGUAACAGCGCCAUCUAGCGGCAGUAGAAAUCCACUGCAACCUAUGUUUCUUACAUUUGUAUAAAUAAAGUUCUUAAUUAUGCAACUACAGUGCAUUGUGGGUGGCUAGUGCAUUCUGGGAAGGAGAAGGGAGCCACCAUACUGUUUACAGCACAUUUGCAUAGCUCUCCUAGCAUUCCUGCUUCUUAAAUCUCCACUACCCCACAGCCAGCAUAUCUGUUUUACCACAUGAACAUACAUCGGCACACCUACGUCGAUGCUCCUGUUUACUAAUUGCAACUGACCACUUACAGUCAAACAACCUGUUAUCAAUAAACAAGUUAGAUUACAA
This is an RNA transcript of Xenopus laevis (African clawed frog), 6178 nucleotides long. RefSeq lists it as uncharacterized. NCBI's taxonomy places the organism in Eukaryota, Metazoa, Chordata, Amphibia, Anura, Pipidae. The record is from RefSeq and is a predicted model, not a curated record. The transcript is spliced from 2 exons.